This 440-nucleotide ribosomal RNA is filed under the name uncultured bacterium. RNAcentral describes it as "partial 16S ribosomal RNA". It matches the Rfam family "Bacterial small subunit ribosomal RNA", at positions 338 to 795 of the family's 1533-position model. The record is from RNAcentral.
CCUACGGGUGGCAGCAGUGAGGAAUAUUGGGCAAUGGAGGCAACUCUGACCCAGCAAUGCCGCGUGAGUGAAGAAGGUUUUCGGAUUGUAAAGCUCUUUCGGCUGUGACGAUGAUGACGGUAGCAGCCAACGAAGCCCCGGCUAACUUCGUGCCAGCAGCCGCGGUAAUACGAAGGGGGCAAGCGUUGUGCGGAUUUACUGGGCGGAAAGGGAGUGUAGGCGGGGUGGUAAGAUAGUGGUGAAAUCCCAGGGCUUAACUUUGGAAUUGCCAUUAUAACUAUUAGACUAGAAUUGCAGAGAGGCGAGUGGACUACCCAGUGUAGAGGUGAAAUUCGUAGAUAUUGGGUAGAACACCAGUGGCGCGGGCGACUCGCUGGCUGGACAUUGACGCUGAGGCUCGAAAGCAUGGGGAUCAAACAGGAUUAGAUACCCGGGUAGUC